Molecule: long non-coding RNA, 983 nt
Organism: Orbicella faveolata
Lineage: Eukaryota; Metazoa; Cnidaria; Anthozoa; Scleractinia; Merulinidae
Source: RefSeq, a predicted model, not a curated record
GUGAGCUUUGCACAAGUUGGCCAAUUAUAUUAGAGUUAUUGUUUGUGUAUUUAUGUAAGCAAGAGAAUAAUGUAUGAAAAGUUUACAGUAUGUGAAAGCCAACAUGCACAUGUACAUGUAAUGCUCAGUGAAUGGAAUUAAACUAUGAAUUCUUUUAUUUUAACUGUGGCUCUUCACAAAGUAAUAGCAGUCAAGACAUGAUCUUCAACCAAAUGGACACAGUUUUAAAAUUCAUGUUUCAGAUGACUUGCAUCCAUCGUGAGUUACAGGAAAAUCACUUAAUUUAUAAUAAUUUUUUUCACAUUGAUCAGCAUUCUUUUGUGAUCACAACUCUGAUAGAUGCAGGUUUAUUAUGAUACAUGCACUUUAAUUUUAAAUUUAAAACUGUUUGCAAUGCAUAGAUUUAAUUGUAGAAGGUACAGUUUAUUAUCAUGGUACACAUCUCUACAAAAGACUCAUUAAUUUAUUUAUUAUUAAUAUAUUGUGGUUUUGUGCUUUUUAAAACUUUUUGACUGUCAAUGACAUGUUCAUAUUUUAAUUAGUUAUUUUAACAUUGCUGUAAAAGUUAAUUGACACAAGCAUGUACAUGUACAUAAUAAGACUGUCAGUAUUAUUGUUGGCAUAAGAAAUGUUUUUGUUUGUUGUUGUUACCAGUUUUUUAUAAUUUUAUGUGGUAAGUAGUUACACAUGUUCAUUGUAUUUGAAUGUUAUUCUGUAGAUAAGUGAUAUUACAGAAGCUUCAAAAUCUGAAGAAGAACCUGAAAAAGCUGAGCAUCUGGAUUCUGCAACAUCAAACCAAAUCCCUGCUACGGUGAUGCCACAGUUGCCACCUGAACCUGCAGGACGCUGUUCAAACAAACUUCAGGAGAAGAUUAUGAAACUCUUGGAAAAGAAACACAGAGGAAACCUUGAUUUAAAUACCAAUAUACAAAAGAGGAAAGACUUCAGAAAUCCAAGGUGAGUACAUGAAAGGGAUCACAUUA